AAGUCGUAACAAGGUUUAUUAACACGUAUCCAACGUUAAACAACCCUGUGAACUUUCAGACGCUCUUGUAGCCCAGGCGGAACAGCAAUCCCGGUAAAUCAAUGGCGGAAAAGUUUUGAUUCGGGACCUCUGUCCAAUUAGUUACAAUCGAGCUAGGAGCAGUGGCAUGGUUUCCCUAAGCAGUGCAGAAGGAUCCACUGAGUAAGGAUAACGCAUCACGGUUGAGGUCGAUCACCGGCCGGCAGACAUGUCACAGGGCUACAUGCCCCUUCGUUCACCCCUUGCCUAAAACUCGCCCACCGGAAAAACCGAACAACUGUUAACAAUGGAUAUCUUGGUUCUC
Molecule: unclassified non-coding RNA, 343 nt
Filed under: fungal sp.
Lineage: Eukaryota; Fungi
Description: partial internal transcribed spacer region
Source: RNAcentral